ACCCGUGUGGCUCAGUUGGUAGAGCAUGGUGUUUGCAACGCCAGAGUUCUGGGUUCAAUUCCCACGGGGG
This 70-nucleotide transfer RNA is filed under the name Salmo salar (Atlantic salmon). It matches the Rfam family "tRNA". From Rfam's summary of the family: Transfer RNA (tRNA) molecules are approximately 80 nucleotides in length. Their secondary structure includes four short double-helical elements and three loops (D, anti-codon, and T loops). The record is from Rfam by way of RNAcentral. Lineage: Eukaryota; Metazoa; Chordata; Actinopteri; Salmoniformes; Salmonidae.